This 1188-nucleotide long non-coding RNA is filed under the name Zonotrichia albicollis (white-throated sparrow). RNAcentral describes it as "lncRNA (ENSZALG00000005361.1)". The record is from RNAcentral. Lineage: Eukaryota; Metazoa; Chordata; Aves; Passeriformes; Passerellidae.
AUGANUGGGAAUGGCACAGGGAAUGGCAGGGAAUGGCAUUGGGAAUGGCACUGGGAAUGGCACAGGGAUUGGCACAGGGAAUGGCAGGGAAUGGCACAGGGAAUGGCAUUGGGAAUGGCAGGGAAUGGCACAGGGAAUGGCACAGGCAUUGGCAUUGGGAAUGGCACAGGGAUUGGCAUUGGGAAUGGCAUUGGGAAUGGCAGGGAAUGGCAUUGGGAUUGGCACUGGGAAUGGCAGGGAAUGGCACAGGGAAUGGCAUUGGGAAUGGCAUUGGGAAUGGCACAGGGAAUGGCAGGGAAUGGCACAGGGAAUGGCAGGGAAUGGCAUUGGGAUUGGCAUUGGGAAUGGCAGGGAAUGGCACUGGGAAUGGCAGGGAAUGGUAUUGGGAAUGGUAUUGGGAAUGGCACAGGGAAUGGCACUGGGAUUGGCAUUGGGAAUGGCAGGGAAUGGCAGGGAAUGGCACAGGGAUUGGCACAGGGAAUGGCACAGGAAUGGCACAGGGAAUGGCACAGGAUUGGCACAGGGAAUGGCACUGGGAAUGGCAGGGAAUGGCAUUGGGAAUGGCACAGGGAAUGGCAGGGAAUGGCACAGGGAAUGGCAGGGAAUGGCAUUGGGAAUGGCAGGGAAUGGCACAGGGAAUGGCACAGGGAAUGGCAGGGAAUGGCACUGGGAAUGGCAGGGAAUGGCACAGGGAAUGGCACAGGGAAUGGCAGGGAAUGGCACAGGGAAUGGCACUGGAUUGGCACAGGGAAUGGCAGGGAAUGGCACAGGGAAUGGCACAGGGAAUGGCAUUGGGAAUGGCACAGGGAAUGGCAGGGAAUGGCACAGGGAAUGGCAGGGAAUGGCACAGGGAUUGGCACAGGGAAUGGCAGGGAUUGGCAUUGGGAAUGGCAGGGAUUGGCAUUGGGAUUGGCACAGGGAUUGGCACUGGAUUGGCACAGGAAACAGCACGGAUUGGCGCAGGGAAUGGCACAGGGAAUGGCACAGGGAAUGGCAGGGAAUGGCACAGGGAAUGGCACAGGAUUGGCACAGGAUUGGCAUUGGGAUUGGCAGGGAAUGGGGAAUCUCUCAGGGAUGCCAGGAGAAUGUCAGAGAUACAACUGCAGAGACUCAGGGAUGAAAUCCUGGAGGAGAUCAGGGAUAAACCUGGAAACCACCAGGGAUAAACCUGGAAACCACCAGGGAUAA